GAGUUUGAUCGUGGCUCAGAUUGAACGCUGGCGGCAGGCCUAACACAUGCAAGUCGGGCGGUAGAGAGAAGCUUGCUUCUCUUGAGAGCGGGCGGACGGGUGAGUAAUGCCUAGGAAUCUGCCUGGUAGUGGGGGAUAACGCUCGGAAACGGACGCUAAUACCGCAUACGUCCUACGGGAGAAAGCAGGGGACCUUCGGGCCUUGCGCUAUCAGAUGAGCCUAGGUCGGAUUAGCUAGUUGGUGAGGUAAUGGCUCACCAAGGCGACGAUCCGUAACUGGUCUGAGAGGAUGAUCAGUCACACUGGAACUGAGACACGGUCCAGACUCCUACGGGAGGCAGCAGUGGGGAAUAUUGGACAAUGGGCGAAAGCCUGAUCCAGCCAUGCCGCGUGUGUGAAGAAGGUCUUCGGAUUGUAAAGCACUUUAAGUUGGGAGAAGGGCAGUAAAUUAAUACUUUGCUGUUUUGACGUUACCGACAGAAUAAGCACCGGCUAACUCUGUGCCAGCCGCCG
This 513-nucleotide ribosomal RNA is filed under the name uncultured bacterium. RNAcentral's name for it is "bacterial SSU rRNA". It matches the Rfam family "Bacterial small subunit ribosomal RNA", at positions 9 to 517 of the family's 1533-position model. The record is from RNAcentral.